CGCCAAAAUAAAUGUCCUGACCGAGAGGUUCAGUGCGCGAACGCCCCUGUGUGUUUUACAGGGGAAAACGAGAUGCUCGGGGUGGGUGAAGUCCAGAGAGGUCGCCCCUCAUCCCCCAUGGAUUCUCCUCUGCAUCUCUGCGGCUGCGAAACCCGCAUGUUGCGUGUCAAGCAUUUUUUUACAGGCUGGGAAAUUAAAGCAGAGCCAGUGAGCUGCACUGACAGGUGGCACCUGUUAUUCCUAAGUGACCUUAAUCACUUUUUUGGAUUGACAGAUCAAAUUUGCCAUCAACUCUGCCACUUCCCAACCAAAACUGGUAGGAAACAUACUAAGACAGAAAAAGAGAUAAUUACGGCAAGAAGUAUUUUCUGUCUGGUGAGUUGGUUUAUUUUAAUCUUUUGCACUAUAAAUUUUUUCCAAAACCUUCAAGUGGAAAAUGCAGAUGUAAACAGAAUGGUGGUACUCCACAGAGCACAACUUGCACAGUUUCAGGAGAAAAAGUAGUUUCAAGAAUUAAAUUCAGGUGACUUUUUAAAAAUUGCACUUCAAAGUUGUGAGGAGAAGGGGGCUGCACAGAGAUUGGAGGAAGCCUCAAAGUGUUUGUGGGGAGGUC
RNAcentral lists this long non-coding RNA (613 nucleotides) under Lonchura striata (white-rumped munia). Its description in RNAcentral is "domestica (Bengalese finch) lncRNA (ENSLSDG00000013013.1)". Lineage: Eukaryota; Metazoa; Chordata; Aves; Passeriformes; Estrildidae. The record is from RNAcentral.